RNAcentral lists this small RNA (76 nucleotides) under Xanthomonas vasicola pv. arecae. Its description in RNAcentral is "sX9 sRNA". It matches the Rfam family "Xanthomonas sRNA sX9". The record is from RNAcentral. Lineage: Bacteria; Pseudomonadati; Pseudomonadota; Gammaproteobacteria; Lysobacterales; Lysobacteraceae.
AUGUACCGCUCGUACACUCAGGUUCCUAAGCGCCGUCCACGCCCACCUGUCGACUGCUCGCUACGUCUUGAUAGCC